GGGUGGAUUAGUGGCGAACGGGUGAGUAACACGUGGGCAAUCUGCCCUGCACUCUGGGACAAGCCCUGGAAACGGGGUCUAAUACCGGAUAUGACCAAUUUCCGCAUGGUGGUUGGUGGAAAGCUCCGGCGGUGCAGGAUGAGCCCGCGGCCUAUCAGCUUGUUGGUGGGGUGAUGGCCUACCAAGGCGACGACGGGUAGCCGGCCUGAGAGGGCGACCGGCCACACUGGGACUGAGACACGGCCCAGACUCCUACGGGAGGCAGCAGUGGGGAAUAUUGCACAAUGGGCGAAAGCCUGAUGCAGCGACGCCGCGUGAGGGAUGACGGCCUUCGGGUUGUAAACCUCUUUCAGCAGGGAAGAAGCUUUUGUGACGGUACCUGCAGAAGAAGCGCCGGCUAACUACGUGCCAUUUGCCGCGGUAAUACGUAGGGCGCGAGCGUUGUCCGGAAUUAUUGGGCGUAAAGAGCUCGUAGGCGGCUUGUUGCGUCGGUUGUGAAAGCCCGGGGCUUAACCCCGGGUCUGCAGUCGAUACGGGCAGGCUAGAGUUCGGUAGGGGAGAUCGGAAUUCCUGGUGUAGCGGUGAAAUGCGCAGAUAUCAGGAGGAACACCGGUGGCGAAGGCGGAUCUCUGGGCCGAUACUGACGCUGA
This 650-nucleotide ribosomal RNA is filed under the name uncultured bacterium. RNAcentral's name for it is "bacterial SSU rRNA". It matches the Rfam family "Bacterial small subunit ribosomal RNA", at positions 85 to 749 of the family's 1533-position model. The record is from RNAcentral.